RNAcentral lists this ribosomal RNA (442 nucleotides) under uncultured bacterium. RNAcentral describes it as "partial 16S ribosomal RNA". It matches the Rfam family "Bacterial small subunit ribosomal RNA", at positions 338 to 795 of the family's 1533-position model. The record is from RNAcentral.
CCUACGGGAGGCAGCAGUGGGGAAUAUUGGGCAAUGGACGCAAGUCUGACCCAGCAACGCCGCGUGAAGGAAGAAGGCUUUCGGGUUGUAAACUUCUUUUAAGGGGGAAGAGCAGAAGACGGUACCCCUUGAAUAAGCCACGGCUAACUACGUGCCAGCAGCCGCGGUAAUACGUAGGUGGCAAGCGUUGUCCGGAUUUACGGGGUGGAAAGGGCGUGCAGCCGGAGAGACAAGUCAGAUGUGAAAUCCACGGGCUCAACCCGUGAACUGCAUUUGACACUGGUUCCCUUGAGUGUCGGAGAGGGAAGCGGAAUUCCUGGUGUAGCGGUGAAAUGCGUAGAUAUAAGGAAGAACACCAGUGGCGAAGGCGGAUUACUGGACGAUAACUGACGGUGAGGCGCGAAAGCGUGGGGAGCAAACAGGAUUAGAUACCCGGGUAGUC